RNAcentral lists this ribosomal RNA (465 nucleotides) under Vreelandella stevensii. Its description in RNAcentral is "partial 16S ribosomal RNA". It matches the Rfam family "Bacterial small subunit ribosomal RNA", at positions 338 to 795 of the family's 1533-position model. Lineage: Bacteria; Pseudomonadati; Pseudomonadota; Gammaproteobacteria; Oceanospirillales; Halomonadaceae. The record is from RNAcentral.
CCUACGGGAGGCAGCAGUGGGGAAUAUUGGACAAUGGGGGGAACCCUGAUCCAGCCAUGCCGCGUGUGUGAAGAAGGCCCUCGGGUUGUAAAGCACUUUCAGUGAGGAAGAACGCCUGGUGGUUAAUACCCAUCAGGAAAGACAUCACUCACAGAAGAAGCACCGGCUAACUCCGUGCCAGCAGCCGCGGUAAUACGGAGGGUGCGAGCGUUAAUCGGAAUUACUGGGCGUAAAGCGCGCGUAGGUGGCUUGAUAAGCCGGUUGUGAAAGCCCCGGGCUCAACCUGGGAACGGCAUCCGGAACUGGCAAGCUAGAGUGCAGGAGAGGAAGGUAGAAUUCCCGGUGUAGCGGUGAAAUGCGUAGAGAUCGGGAGGAAUACCAGUGGCGAAGGCGGCCUUCUGGACUGACACUGACACUGAGGUGCGAAAGCGUGGGUAGCAAACAGGAUUAGAUACCCGUGUAGUC